GACGAACGCUGGCGGCGUGCUUAACACAUGCAAGUCGAACGGGAUCCGGGCUUUCGGGUUUGGUGAGAGUGGCGAACGGGUGAGUAACACGUGAGUAACCUGCCCCCUUCUUUGGGAUAACGUCGGGAAAUCGGCGCUAAUACUGGAUAUUCUUGCUGCAUCGCAUGGUGUGGUUUGGAAAGGGUUUCUGGUGGGGGAUGGGCUCGCGGCCUAUCAGCUUGUUGGUGGGGUGAUGGCCUACCAAGGCUUUGACGGGUAGCCGGCCUGAGAGGGUGUCCGGCCACACUGGGACUGAGACACGGCCCAGACUCCUACGGGAGGCAGCAGUGGGGAAUAUUGCACAAUGGGCGCAAGCCUGAUGCAGCGACGCCGCGUGAGGGAUGACGGCCUUCGGGUUGUAAACCUCUUUCAGUAUGGAACAAGGAUCCUUCUUUUGGGGGGUUUGAGAGUACGUGCAGAAGAAGCGCCGGCUAACUACGUG
This 481-nucleotide ribosomal RNA is filed under the name uncultured bacterium. Its description in RNAcentral is "partial 16S ribosomal RNA". It matches the Rfam family "Bacterial small subunit ribosomal RNA", at positions 28 to 507 of the family's 1533-position model. The record is from RNAcentral.